UGCAGGAUGAAGGUCCUAUGGAUUGUAAACUGCUUUUGUACGGGAAGAAACCCCUCCUCGUGAGGAGGGCUGACGGUACCGUGAGAAUAAGGAUCGGCUAACUCCGUGCCAGCAGCCGCGGUAAUACGGAGGAUCCGAGCGUUAUCCGGAUUUAUUGGGUUUAAAGGGUGCGUAGGCGGCGUGCUAAGUCAGGGGUGAAAGACGGUGGCUCAACCAUCGCAGUGCCUUUGAUACUGGUGCGCUUGAAUGCGGAUGAGGUAGGCGGAAUGUGGCAAGUAGCGGUGAAAUGCAUAGAUAUGCCACAGAACACCGAUUGCGAAGGCAGCUUACCAAGGCGCGAUUGACGCUGAUGCACGAAAGCGUGGGGAUCGAACAGGAUUAGAUACCCUGGUAGUCCACGCCCUAAACGA
Molecule: ribosomal RNA, 410 nt
Filed under: uncultured bacterium
Lineage: Bacteria
Description: bacterial SSU rRNA
Rfam family: Bacterial small subunit ribosomal RNA
Source: RNAcentral